Molecule: ribosomal RNA, 253 nt
Filed under: uncultured bacterium
Lineage: Bacteria
Description: partial 16S ribosomal RNA
Rfam family: Bacterial small subunit ribosomal RNA
Source: RNAcentral
UACGUAGGGUGCGAGCGUUAAUCGGAAUUACUGGGCGUAAAGCGUGCGCAGGCGGUUCGUUGUGUCGGCGGUGAAAGCCCCGGGCUUAACCUGGGAAUGGCCGUUGAAACUGGCGAACUGGAGUGUGGCAGAGGGGGGUGGAAUUCCGCGUGUAGCAGUGAAAUGCGUAGAGAUGCGGAGGAACACCGAUGGCGAAGGCAGCCCCCUGGGCUAACACUGACGCUCAGGCACGAAAGCUGGGGGAGCAAACAGG